This 505-nucleotide ribosomal RNA is filed under the name uncultured bacterium. Its description in RNAcentral is "bacterial SSU rRNA". It matches the Rfam family "Bacterial small subunit ribosomal RNA", at positions 24 to 518 of the family's 1533-position model. The record is from RNAcentral.
UCAGGAUGAACGCUAGCUACAGGCUUAACACAUGCAAGUCGAGGGGCAGCAUAACGAAAGCUUGCUUUGUUGAUGGCGACCGGCGCACGGGUGAGUAACGCGUAUCCAACCUUCCCCAUAGUAGAGGAUAGCCCGGCGAAAGUCGGAUUAAUACUCUAUGUUGUAUUUUGAGGACAUCUGACGAAUACCAAAGAUUGAUCGCUAUGGGAUGGGGAUGCGUCUGAUUAGCUUGUUGGCGGGGUAACGGCCCACCAAGGCGACGAUCAGUAGGGGUUCUGAGAGGAAGGUCCCCCACAUUGGUACUGAGACACGGACCAAACUCCUACGGGAGGCAGCAGUGAGGAAUAUUGGUCAAUGGACGAGAGUCUGAACCAGCCAAGUAGCGUGCAAGGAUGACUGCCCCAUGGGUUGUAAACUGCUUUUAUGCGGGAAUAAAGUCAGGUACGCGUACCUGUUUGUAUGUACCGCAUGAAUAAGGACCGGCUAAUUCCGUGCCAGCCGCUGC